AGGUAAUUACUAUUGUGAACAGUAUGUCAGCAACAUCAUUGGACGCCCCAAUGGAAGGACUUUGAUCUAGCACCUUGGAUGCUGUCAAACACUUAACCCAGAUGAGUCAAGAUCUUGAGAUGUGGAGACUGGUGUUCUGAUUGCAGUCACAGGUUCAAGAUUCAGAUGAUCCGACAAUGUAUUGAAAAACUGUCUCUCAAGAAAAUUCAUAGUCAGAAUCAAUAUCUGGGUUGACUACAGGAGGAUCACCACAGGUAUCAUCAUAUUCUUCAUUUGACUCCGACAACUGCUCCUUUCUACAACAUGUCAAAUUGGCAUCCACAUGUCCAAGGUUAAUGUUUUUAUAAAAAUCCUUUACCUGUAUAGAAUGGCUUUUACAUAGAGACUUCUUGAAAUUCAAAACUCUGAGUCCUGUUAUUGAAACAGCCCGGCCGACAGCAACACCAACU
Long non-coding RNA from Pecten maximus, 449 nucleotides. RefSeq lists it as uncharacterized. Lineage: Eukaryota; Metazoa; Mollusca; Bivalvia; Pectinida; Pectinidae. The record is from RefSeq and is a predicted model, not a curated record. The transcript has 3 exons.